RNAcentral lists this transfer RNA (90 nucleotides) under Thalictrum thalictroides. It matches the Rfam family "tRNA". Rfam says of the family: Transfer RNA (tRNA) molecules are approximately 80 nucleotides in length. Their secondary structure includes four short double-helical elements and three loops (D, anti-codon, and T loops). The record is from Rfam by way of RNAcentral. Lineage: Eukaryota; Viridiplantae; Streptophyta; Magnoliopsida; Ranunculales; Ranunculaceae.
GGAUCUUUAGCUCAAAUGGUAGAGCACUUGAGAGUAUGAGCAGCCCCUAAUGCAUCUCAAGAGAUGGUGGUUCAAAUCCACCAAGAUCCU